UUUAGUCAAUGAAAUGUUCACACAACAGUAAAUAUUGGACCACUUAUUUUUUGACAUUUUAGGGGAAGUUGAGCUUCCCUUGCAGUCUUAGAGCAAUCGCCACUGUUUCAGAUGUUUUGUUGCUAAAUUCUUCUGGUUUGACUGAGACGUGUGUCUGAGGUGCAGCUCUGCAGGCCUGAGGAGACUUAAAGGAAUGUUGUUUUAGACCAUCGCAGGACGUCGUCUGAGGUUCCCCGGACUGCGCACAGCUUGAACCGGAGCAACAAAAUAUAAAAGUCAAGUGCACCCCCAAAAAAAGAAAUUCUGCCGAAAAUAGAAAGAGUUCAGGGUUUGUUUGUUUUUCUUCUUUUUGUUUUUUUUUUGGGGGGGGCGGGGCGGGGGGAUCCACGCUUUUAAAGCUUUUCUAUUUAUUAAAUGAGUCAAACAUUGGAGAAUCCUGAGCUGGAAAAGCAGCUCCAGGAUUUAUGAUAAUCAGUGUGUUUACAUGGGACUUUUAUUUCCUCUUUGAAUCCGAAUAAAGCUUAAUUUCUCUCUAAAAUGACCUGUAGAACGCCUGAAAACACGUUCAGAAUUAAAGGUGCAUUAAGGAGUUUUCACGUUUUAUAUGAAAUAGCGGCCCCUGCAGGCCUUGGGCGUACCUGCAGCUUAGUAAAUAGCUCGGGUCUGUGGCUUGGGUGCUGUACGGGCACAGAAGAGGGGGACUCCUUCCUCGCUUGUUUAGUAGCGCUCAAGUAAGAUUUAAGUUUCUUCUACCUGGUGGAGUCUGUGUGGAGCUGUGGCAGUGCUAGAAGCCAGUCUUUUCUUACUUUCUGGAAGCUCCUGCUCAGUUGUUGCUCGCUAAGCAUCCGGCGGAGUAAUGGCAGACAAAACGAAAGUUAAGGAUAUCAGGUCAGCGGGAGCGUGCAUUACGUCUCAUAAUCUCAAAUUCUCCCCCAAAAAAUUCUGGUGCCGGACCGGCACUGUGACUUUCAAGUGAUAAUUCAUUGCUGUUUGCGGUACUUACAAUGAAUAUGUCAGGGCACAUUGUACACAGCAUCAAUUAUUUGUAAUAUAUUUGUGGUGGAAAAUAAGUAUUUUUAAAGUUGAAAAACUCCUUAAUGCACCUUUAAAUUUAAAUCCAUAUAGACUGCCCAGUUGUCGGGAGCGGAAUUAUGGCGUGACUUUAUUCUGGUCGUUCUGCGCAUGCUCCGCCGUCGCUAUGACGCAAUGUCCCAAGAUGGCGGCCAGCGGUUCCACUCGUACAGAGGAAAUUUUUUGAACGGGAUCUUCAGAAGAAACUGAUAAAAUGAAAAGAACGGAUAGACGGGAGCAGACCAAUGUGGACACAUUCAAAGCUGUAGCAUCAAAGUUAAUCCAGAAAGAGAAAAAAAUCGCUGCCAAAAUGCUUUGUUUACUUCCGGGAGACAGAAUUUAAACCUUCAUUUCCCGUGUAAACGUCAAACUCAGUAAUAUAUUUCAGAGUUGUUUGUGACUGUGUUCCUGUGUAAACUGACACGUGAAGUCUUGUUUUUUUUAAAGUGAUGUUAAACCAAACCUAAUGAGCCAUCUUCACUUCUGACAUUCCAUUAAAAACAAAACACACCGGAG
Molecule: long non-coding RNA, 1587 nt
Organism: Salarias fasciatus (jewelled blenny)
Lineage: Eukaryota; Metazoa; Chordata; Actinopteri; Blenniiformes; Blenniidae
Exons: 2
Source: RefSeq, a predicted model, not a curated record